AUAUAAAAAGCAUACUGAACUCUAUACAAUCUUCUUGAACGCAAACCUGCAAGUUCGUCCUUUAGUUUUUCCAGCGAUGAAGAUUCAUUAUGACCAACACGUGUACGUGCGUCCCGAGAACCCCUCUUACUGCAGGCGUCUGCUGGUUGGAAGAAGUGGAAAGACAUGAUAAAUAGAGAAAGUGUGAUGCAGGUUUUGCAAAGAGGCUGUUACUGAAGGGUCAGGCAGAUAAAAACUAUACUGGACUUGAUUGAAAACCUCUAAAUAUCAGAUCACCUGGGAAGGAUGUCAGUACUAGAUAUAAACAAGGCCUAAAUCAGCACGAGAGAGAGAAACAUACGUUUUUGUAUCUGACAGAUGUUUUCAUACGCCCUGAUCCCUAAUCCAAUCUUUUCUUCGGUACCUCUUCCUCACCCCAAAUUUUUGUCUCGGCUCAUCUCUCAGAAUCACAUCCACACAUGGCCGAUCCCCAUCAUUAUCCAAUCACAUCCAUCCACCGCCCUCCGUGUCAACGGCAAUACAAUCAGUACCAUAUGGUAGCCACAUUCGCGAGACCCCCGCACUUCCUGAUCGCUUCCUUUCGGGAGGCGGCGCUGAGCAGACGUGAGGGGAGAUGUAAUCAGACGUUUGGCAGAAUCUGCAGCAAUCAGGCACGCCAUCAGACGCUUUCUGGUCCUUGGCCACCGGGGCUUAAGGGUAUCUGGGGUGUGUGCGGGUAACAUCAAAGUUCCUGGAUAAGAGAAAGAGUUGGAGAGAGAGGAGAUUACAUGGAUUAGGACGGAGGGGGAAGGAAUAAUGUAAUUAAACACUUGUCGAGAUUUUAUUCCACCCUGUAGACAUGAGAGAGACUCUGUAGGGGCUGAUAUGCUGAUUAUAACUCACACUGCUCCAAAUUUGUUGACAGAAUACCGUGUGUUGGGCAUUUGCCCUGGGAGCGACUCUUAAUGCCGUCAUAUUAGAAAGAAAGAUGGAGUGUUAUAGCGGCAUAAAUGUAGCGAGACAAAGAAAUUGCAUUCCUUCUGAGUUGCGCACACAAUUUCUGUCUUUCAGCACCCUCUGUAAUGUUAAUGGCCGCCCGUCUGUUGGACGCUACCUUUGUGUUCCAGCUCAAGCGAGGAUGUGAUGUCAUCGGGGCUUUUGUGUGUCUAAUCCAGUGCAAACAUUAGAUGUCUACAGUGGUGAUGUAUGAGUGUGCAUAGUACAGAAACUCAAGUAUGCAGAGCAAAUGCAUCUCACAUACAAUGGCGCUCAUUGAUCAGCUGGAAAGAACCAUAUAUUAUAGAUUUUUUUUUUAAUACAGUCUUUGCUUAGCAGCUCUGUAUUGAAAGUCUUCUGCUACUCUUUAUCUACAUACAGCCUCCAUUCAAGCUUUAUUUUGCUGAUAAGUUCCUAGAUGGUUUAUCUGUUUUCAUAAUUUGUUGCAGACCCUGGACUCGAUAAAA
Long non-coding RNA from Cyprinus carpio (common carp), 1442 nucleotides. RefSeq lists it as uncharacterized. The record is from RefSeq and is a predicted model, not a curated record. Lineage: Eukaryota; Metazoa; Chordata; Actinopteri; Cypriniformes; Cyprinidae. The transcript has 4 exons.